CUGGCGGCGUGCCUAAUACAUGCAAGUCGAACGAGGUAGCAAUACCGAGUGGCGAACGGGUGAGUAACACGUAGGUAACCUGCCCUUAAGCUUGGGAUACCCAGAGGAAACUUUGGCUAAUACCGGAUAACAACAGAGAAGGCAUCUUCUUUGCUUGAAAGGCCCUUCAAGGGUCACUUAAGGAUGGACCUGCGGCGCAUUAGCUAGUUGGUGAGAUAACAGCCCACCAAGGCGAGGAUGCGUAGCCGAACUGAGAGGUUGAUCGGCCACAUUGGAACUGAGACACGGUCCAAACUCCUACGGGAGGCAGCAGUAAGGAGUUUUCGGCAAUGGGGGAAACCCUGACCGAGCAACGCCGCGUGAGCGAUGACGGCCCUAUGGGUUGUAAAGCUCUGUUGUAAGCCAUGAAUGACAGCUUGAGGAAAUGCAAGUUGUUUGACGACAGCUUACCAGAAAGCCACGGCUAACUACGUGCCAGCCGCAGC
RNAcentral lists this ribosomal RNA (485 nucleotides) under uncultured bacterium. RNAcentral describes it as "bacterial SSU rRNA". It matches the Rfam family "Bacterial small subunit ribosomal RNA", at positions 36 to 518 of the family's 1533-position model. The record is from RNAcentral.